GAUGAACGCUGGCGGCGUGCCUAAUACAUGCAAGUCGAGCGAACAGACGAGGAGCUUGCUCCUCUGACGUUAGCGGCGGACGGGUGAGUAACACGUGGAUAACCUACCUAUAAGACUGGGAUAACUUCGGGAAACCGGAGCUAAUACCGGAUAAUAUAUUGAACCGCAUGGUUCAAUAGUGAAAGACGGUUUUGCUGUCACGUAUAGAUGGAUCCGCGCCGCAUUAGCUAGUUGGUAAGGUAACGGCUUACCAAGGCAACGAUGCGUAGCCGACCUGAGAGGGUGGUCGGCCACACUGGAACUGAGACACGGUCCAGACUCCUACGGGAGGCAGCAGUAGGGAAUCUUCCGCAAUGGGCGAAAGCUUGACGGAGCAACGCCGCGUGAGUGAUGAAGGUCUUCGGAUCGUAAAACUCUGUUAUUAGGGAAGAACAAAUGUGUAAGUAACUAUGCACGUCUUGACGGUACCUAAUCAGAAAGCCACGGCUAACUACGUG
This 497-nucleotide ribosomal RNA is filed under the name uncultured bacterium. Its description in RNAcentral is "partial 16S ribosomal RNA". It matches the Rfam family "Bacterial small subunit ribosomal RNA", at positions 28 to 507 of the family's 1533-position model. The record is from RNAcentral.